This 341-nucleotide long non-coding RNA is filed under the name Glycine max (soybean). Its description in RNAcentral is "long non-coding RNA (GMAX_LNC001006)". The record is from RNAcentral. Lineage: Eukaryota; Viridiplantae; Streptophyta; Magnoliopsida; Fabales; Fabaceae.
GAACAUUAUUAAGAUGCCACUACACCACCUCAGAAAAAAAUGAAAAGUAAAAAUAAUAGAACAUAAAGGAUGUUUGAAAUGAUUUUAGAAAACUUGAUGCAUAACAUUCAGAAACAUAUACCAAAACAUGAGCAUAUGCACCCUACCACUCACACUCAGAGAAAGAGAGAGAGAUACCUGAAAACCCAAGUUUCUUCCUCAUCUAAGAAACACAUUCAUGUUUGUACAUACUCUAUUGACCUUGGGAGGCCUUAUAUAGGAAAUAUAAGUAUUGCAUCAAAAUCUAAAAUUGAUAUUAAGGUAUACAUAUUUCUGCCAGCUUUCUUUUACAAUGACUCAAG